AAAUUGAAGAGUUUGAUCAUGGCUCAGAUUGAACGCUGGCGGCAGGCCUAACACAUGCAAGUCGAGCGGAAACGAGUUAUCUGAACCUUCGGGGAACGAUAACGGCGUCGAGCGGCGGACGGGUGAGUAAUGCCUAGGAAAUUGCCCUGAUGUGGGGGAUAACCAUUGGAAACGAUGGCUAAUACCGCAUGAUGCCUACGGGCCAAAGAGGGGGACCUUCGGGCCUCUCGCGUCAGGAUAUGCCUAGGUGGGAUUAGCUAGUUGGUGAGGUAAGGGCUCACCAAGGCGACGAUCCCUAGCUGGUCUGAGAGGAUGAUCAGCCACACUGGAACUGAGACACGGUCCAGACUCCUACGGGAGGCAGCAGUGGGGAAUAUUGCACAAUGGGCGCAAGCCUGAUGCAGCCAUGCCGCGUGUGUGAAGAAGGCCUUCGGGUUGUAAAGUACUUUCAGUCGUGAGGAAGGUAGUGUAGUUAAUAGCUGCAUUAUUUGACGUUAGCGACAGAAGAAGCACCGGCUAACUCCGUGCCAGCAGCCGCGGUAAUACGGAGGGUGCGAGCGUUAAUCGGAAUUACUGGGCGUAAAGCGCAUGCAGGUGGUUUGUUAAGUCAGAUGUGAAAGCCCGGGCUCAACCUCGGAAUAGCAUUUGAAACUGGCAGACUAGAGUACUGUAGAGGGGGUAGAAUUUCAGGUGUAGCGGUGAAAUGCGUAGAGAUCUGAAGGAAUACCGGUGGCGAAGGCGGCCCCCUGGACAGAUACUGACACUCAGAUGCGAAAGCGUGGGGAGCAAACAGGAUUAGAUACCCUGGUAGUCCACGCCGUAAACGAUGUCUACUUGGAGGUUGUGGCCUUGAGCCGUGGCUUUCGGAGCUAACGCGUUAAGUAGACCGCCUGGGGAGUACGGUCGCAAGAUUAAAACUCAAAUGAAUUGACGGGGGCCCGCACAAGCGGUGGAGCAUGUGGUUUAAUUCGAUGCAACGCGAAGAACCUUACCUACUCUUGACAUCCAGAGAACUUUCCAGAGAUGGAUUGGUGCCUUCGGGAACUCUGAGACAGGUGCUGCAUGGCUGUCGUCAGCUCGUGUUGUGAAAUGUUGGGUUAAGUCCCGCAACGAGCGCAACCCUUAUCCUUGUUUGCCAGCGAGUAAUGUCGGGAACUCCAGGGAGACUGCCGGUGAUAAACCGGAGGAAGGUGGGGACGACGUCAAGUCAUCAUGGCCCUUACGAGUAGGGCUACACACGUGCUACAAUGGCGCAUACAGAGGGCGGCCAACUUGCGAAAGUGAGCGAAUCCCAAAAAGUGCGUCGUAGUCCGGAUUGGAGUCUGCAACUCGACUCCAUGAAGUCGGAAUCGCUAGUAAUCGUGGAUCAGAAUGCCACGGUGAAUACGUUCCCGGGCCUUGUACACACCGCCCGUCACACCAUGGGAGUGGGCUGCAAAAGAAGUAGGUAGUUUAACCUUCGGGGGGACGCUUACCACUUUGUGGUUCAUGACUGGGGUGAAGUCGUAACAAGGUAGCGCUAGGGGAACCUGGCGCUGGAUCACCUCCUUA
This 1551-nucleotide ribosomal RNA is filed under the name Vibrio alginolyticus. RNAcentral describes it as "bacterial SSU rRNA". It matches the Rfam family "Bacterial small subunit ribosomal RNA". Lineage: Bacteria; Pseudomonadati; Pseudomonadota; Gammaproteobacteria; Vibrionales; Vibrionaceae. The record is from RNAcentral.